This is a non-coding RNA of Mycena alexandri, 89 nucleotides long. The record is from the annotation of a GenBank genome assembly. Lineage: Eukaryota; Fungi; Basidiomycota; Agaricomycetes; Agaricales; Mycenaceae.
GUCCUGGUGGUGAAUGGUUCACACCCACUCUGCUUUGGAAGGGAACCAUUGUCAGGUGGGAGUCCCCGGUUCGAUUCCGGGCCAGGUCA